Molecule: non-coding RNA, 319 nt
Organism: Paramuricea clavata
Lineage: Eukaryota; Metazoa; Cnidaria; Anthozoa; Malacalcyonacea; Plexauridae
Source: the annotation of a GenBank genome assembly
UCUUACUCAAGUCGUUUUAUUGUUAAUUACUUCUACUUUUACUCGAGUACAAAUUCAAAGUAAUUUAGGCACCACUAGCCCUCUGCACAGGAACGGAAGGUUUGAUCCUACAAGCCCUUCUACAACUAGUUGUAUAUAUCGAGUGUAGGUACACAAAAUCCUGAUAUUAUUUAGCCAUACCUGACAUUAGCUUCGAAUGUAUUAUCCAACCUGCCAUAUUUUGCCAGUGAUUGGUGAUCCAGCUCAGAUGAUGCUGUAAUCUGCUCGUCAGCGAUCGCUCCGUUUGUCAUGCCAAGCGGUUUUGCAACCAAGCAAACUU